This is a long non-coding RNA of Myiozetetes cayanensis, 3488 nucleotides long. RefSeq lists it as uncharacterized. The transcript is spliced from 3 exons. The record is from RefSeq and is a predicted model, not a curated record. NCBI's taxonomy places the organism in Eukaryota, Metazoa, Chordata, Aves, Passeriformes, Tyrannidae.
CCACGGACCAGCGCCUGCCUCUCGCUCCCUGCUUGUUUUCCCGGGUGUUUCAGGUCAGACAUGGACAUAACUUCUACUGGACUGGCCCUUCACCAUGAGAACAAAUAAUCCUAUUGAUCUGGCAUUGCUGUCUUCAAGUAAGAAAAUAUCAAAAUGCUUCACUAGUCUUCUUACUACAGAGCGGAAAGGAUGACAAUUCAUCAUCUACUUGAUUACUUUCAAGAAAGCAAUGAAAUUACAUUAAAAAUUGUACUACAACUGCUGUUGUUUUGAACUUCUGGCAGUGUGUCCUCUGACAAUACUGACAUAGCUAAUGUUAAUUUUGGAAGGUACCUUCCUGUCUCACAAUUUAACGGAUAGUACAAGUGAAAAAAUGCUUGUACCUAACCUUCCAACUCAUUUACCGCAUCAAACAGUGAAGUCUGCUACAGUUAAGAGUCAUUUGGCUUAAGAUUAUUAAACCUUCAUUUACAAAAUUUGUCAAAGAAAAAGUUUGGAAUAAUAGGAAAGAUUUUAUUUUACCAAGCUUGGACAUGUAGAGGUUUUGAGCACUCUUUUCAGAACAUAUUUAUCUCUAUAUUCUGCAACUAAAGGCAUCAUAAAAUGUUUUCCAGCUUUUAAAAAUAAUUUUUCUACAUUAGGAGAAUAUCACUGGUUGCAUCCUUUCAGGAUAGUGAAGAUUGGAUAAAUGGAGAUAAGCAAGUGUCUGAAUAAAACUUUUCUUUCAUAAUGUAGUAAAAUCCUUUCAAGGUAUAUAACAAUCUGAUCUUGAAUGUGAAGGCAAGAUACAUGAAAUAAAGGGUAAGUUUCAAGAAAUAAUGGAUGACAAAAUAUUGGCCAUUAAAGUAACUCCUGCAUAGAAACAUGGGAGUUUCAUUCCACAGUAUACAUUAGCUCCCAAACAUGUAAUAAAACAGGUUCAUGUCUAUAUAUAGAAUAUCCUAAACUUCCUCAGCUACAUUAAAUUUCUUAAAAAUUUAGUGAUUUUUAGAAAAUUACAAUGAAAAGUUGAAACUCAACCAAAAAAAAAAACAUAUGACAAAGAUUAUGCUUCAGGAGAUCUGUAUUAGAAACUGAAUUUAAUGUUUCAUCUCAAAGACCAAUUUUUCUAGUUCUUAAAAUUUGUGGUUGGAUUAUGAACACAUCUAAGAUAAAUGAGGUAGUUAGAAUAGUAUUUUCCUUUUGUUAACAGACUCAUAGAAACCUGCCAAAUACUGACCCUGUUAAGGCUGAGCUUCAAAUAAAAGUUGUACGGGGAAAGAGUGGUAUGGAUUUACUAAAGAUUGUUAAAAUAUAUUAAACCAGAUCCUAACAUAACUCUGAAUAACACAAUCCAUCUUUUAAGAACUGUGUAUUUGAGGCCAACGUAAUACAAACUUGCGAGAAGAUUUAAUGAAAUGCUAAAGGAAAUGUUUUUUCACUCAAAUCCCACUUCACAUCCUGACCCUUAUCUUCCAUGUGGUUAUGUUUUAUUUCCAUUCAAGAAAGGCAGUCAUCUAGAUAUGUAACUGUUAAUGUUUUGACUUGCAAAUUGAAUGUGGCUUUAGCAAGCAGCAUGAUCUCCCCCAGGGUACAAGCUGGAAUAUUUCUUUUUACUUGUCAUAGAUAGUUUCCUCAGUGGUUUUUUUUGAGUCUGCCAUUUUCACUUCUGGAGUUGUGGGUAUUGCACAGCUCAGUGUUGCUGGCUGUAUAACAAAACUUGAUAUUUGUAACUAAGUUAGACUAAGUAUUCCCAUUGAAGAUAGUUAUCUUUCCCAUUCCACUUAGGUGCUGCAGAAUGAAUAGCAUCCUGCUAAUACUUUCAAUAGAAAGGUUGAUAGUAUUUCAGUACUUUAUGUCUGAAUGAUAUUGCUGAUUAAAUAACACAAAAUUGUAUUUAAUUUGAAAUAUAAUCCCUAUUAUUUCCAAAACCUGGCAAUCAGUAGUAUACUUUUACUAAUAAAAGAUCAGUUCUAGCAGAAUGGCUAAUGGUAUUAUUAAUUAAAUGAGGUCUCACAGCAGUACUCUAUAAGCACGUUCAUUAAAAACUGUGAAAUAGGAAUUUUUAACUGAUUCAUCCUACUCCACUGCUCAGACCAGCCUCUUUAUAUCCCUGUACCCUUGAGUUCCACUGAAGGAUCAACUACUGAUCACCUCAACACAGAUACUAUCAGUCUGCAGCUACUGUACUACUUUACUAUGUAAAUAAUCCUGCUGAUAUAAUAAGAUGAAGUGAGGGUUGAUUCUGUCAUCAUUACAUCAUAUUAUGCUCCUAUACCUUAUUUUUUAAAAUUUGACUGUGAGAUUCCAAACAAUUGACUACACCACUGUAUACUAGAAAUAAUCUCUGACAUAUUUUCUUAGCUUUAGGUCAACUAGUGGAAAACAUUGUGAUGAACACAUCUCACCAGGUGCAUAGUACAGUUUGUAGGACUGGCCUUCUUGCUUCCUGUAUUAAGAUCUCAACUUCUAAGUUAAGAUGAAACACAUCUUCCAAAAAAACAGGUGUUUUCUGGAACAUGUAUGUAGGAAUGCGACCUUAUUUCUCUAUUAUACUGUAUGUUAGACUCAGACUUUGAAGCACCUUUCUUUUCCAGGUUAUGCUGAAUACUAGGUACAUAAAUUGUGCUUAACUGCUUCCAUGAUUCAGAAGAUCAUGACUUGUGGGUCACCUUUUGGUAUAGAAGACUUUAGAUUCGAAAUAUUCACUGUCAAUGGUUUAUACCUUUCCUCAAUUCCCGUAAGUGAAUAUUAUGAAUAUACAUACAUGGUAGACAUAAAGCACAAAAAAGCAUGUCAGGAAAUAAGAGAAUGUGUAUUGUUUCCACUAUGGCUUAAAUGUGCAAUGGAUUGUAAUUUUGCUCACAUAUUCUUUUAUUCCCACGAAAAAAUCCAGUGGGAAACAAUAUAAUUUAAAGAAAACAAGUACAUUGCUUGUUUGUCAGUUGCUUGGGGUUUUUUAUUUCCACAUUACUAUAUUUUCCUUCUCUUGCUAACUAUUGUCCAUCAUUUUUCAUCUUAUAUAAUAACUCUUAUAUCAAACUGGAAAAACAGAUUUCCAUUUUUCUUGUAUUUAUGUAAUUGAAUGCCAUCAAUCAGUUUCCACCAUAGAAGAUCUAGACAUAAAAGUAAGAUUAAGCAUUCUUUGCUCUCUUAGGAAAUUGUUCAUACUUCAGGGAAUUUAAGCAUAAUGAACUUCUAAAAUCUCCUCAAAGGAAAACUGGAACACGGUGGAGGAGUUAGUUUCUGUAUUCCACUUAUUUCAAUGCAGGUUGAUAAAACUACGAAGUAGUAUUUUCUACAUUUUGGUAAUUACUUUUUAAUUAAAUUCCUGACAGGCUGAAGUCACUACCCUUGUUUAUGCACGCCUACAUAAUAAUCUUUUAGUGAGCUUUGUUCUCAGCACAGCUGCCAGACUGGAAGCUCUGGAGACCAAAAUUACCUGCCACACAACAAAUGUGGCACUAGCAGUGACAAUUAAAGGACACUAGACAGAAGUCUACAUAAUA